This 229-nucleotide ribosomal RNA is filed under the name uncultured bacterium. Its description in RNAcentral is "partial 16S ribosomal RNA". It matches the Rfam family "Bacterial small subunit ribosomal RNA", at positions 568 to 796 of the family's 1533-position model. The record is from RNAcentral.
UGCGUAGGCGGGCUAAUAAGUCAGUGGUGAAAUCUCUCGGCUCAACCGGGAAACUGCCAUUGAUACUGUUAGUCUUGAGUUCGGUUGAGGUAGGCGGAAUGUGUAAUGUAGCGGUGAAAUGCUUAGAUAUUACACAGAACACCAAUUGCGUAGGCAGCUUACUGGACCGACACUGACGCUGAGGCACGAAAGCGUGGGGAGCGAACAGGAUUAGAUACCCUGGUAGUCC